GAUGAAGAACGCAGCGAAAUGCGAUAAGUAAUGUGAAUUGCAGAAUUCAGUGAAUCAUCGAAUCUUUGAACGCACAUUGCGCCUCCCAGUAGUCUGGCGGGCAUGCCUGUUCGAGCGUCAUUUCAACCAUCAAGCCCUGCUUGUGUUGGGGUCCUGCGGCUGCCCGCAGGCCCUGAAAACCAGUGGCGGGCUCGCUAGUCACACCGAGCGCAGUAGCACAUCUCGCUCAGGGCGUGCGGCGGGCUCCAGCCGUUAAAGCACCCACCUUUCGCAAGGUUGACCUCGGAUCAGGUAGGAAUACCCGCUGAACUUAAGCAUAUCAAUAAGCGGAGGA
Molecule: unclassified non-coding RNA, 334 nt
Filed under: soil metagenome
Description: partial contains 5.8S ribosomal RNA, internal transcribed spacer 2, and large subunit ribosomal RNA
Rfam family: 5.8S ribosomal RNA (bases 1-120)
Source: RNAcentral